CUGGCCCCAUAGAUUGGUCUCAUAGACUGUCCCAGCCCCAUAGAUUGGCUCCAGCCCCAUAGAUCAGCCCCAUAGACAUUUUCAGCCCCAUAGAUCGGCCCCAUAGCGGGUCCUGGCCCCAUAGAUUGGCUCCUGCCCCAUAGAUUGGCUCCAGCCCCAUAGAUCGGGCUAUGGGGCAAAGCUAUGGGGCAGAGCUGUGAGGUGCUAUGGGGCAGAUAUGGCGCUAUGGGGCGCUAUGGGGCAGCUAUGGGGCAGAAAUGUGCGGCAAUGGGAAUGGAUGGAGGAUGAAUGGGGGCUAUGGGGCGCUAUGGGGCGCUAUAGGGUGACUAUAGGGCAUCUAUGGGGCAGAGCUAUGGGGCUCUAUGGGGCUCUAUGGGGCAGAGAUGGUGUUAUGGGGUGCAGAGAUGGAGGACAUGGGAAUGGAUGGAGGAUGAAUGGGGGCUAUGGGGUUAUGGGGCGCUAUAGGGCAGCUAUGGGGCAUCUAUGGGGCAGAGCUAUGGGGCGCUAUGGGGCUCUAUGGGGCAGAGAUGGGGCUCUAUGGGGCAGAGAUGGAAGGCAAUAGGAAUGGAUGGAGAAUGAAUGGGGGCUAUGGGGAUAUGGGGCGCUAUGGGGCGGCUAUGGGGCAUCUAUGGGGCAGAGCUAUGGGGCGAUAUGGGGCUCAAUGGGGCAGAGAUGGAAGGCAAUGGGAAUGGAUGGAGGAUGAAUGGGGUCUUUGGGGUUAUGGGGCGCUAUGGGGCGCUAUAGGGCGGCUAUGGGGCAUCUAUGGGGCAGAGCUAUGGGGCGCUAUGGGGCUCUAUGGGGCAGAUAUGGAGCUCUAUGGGGCAGAGAUGGAGGGCAAUGGGAAUGGAUGGAGGAUGAAUGGGGUCUAUGGGGCGCUAUGGGGCGCUAUGGGGCGCUAUAGGGCAGCUAUGGGGCAUCUAUGGGGCAGAGCUAUGGGGCGGAUCUAUGGGGCCGCCCCGUCCUCACCUCCGUGGCUGCGCCUUUGGCCGCUGCGGUGGCUGCAAAACGGCGUCACGGUGGGGGGGGGGGGG
This 1031-nucleotide long non-coding RNA is filed under the name Gallus gallus (chicken). RNAcentral describes it as "lncRNA (ENSGALG00010000478.1)". Lineage: Eukaryota; Metazoa; Chordata; Aves; Galliformes; Phasianidae. The record is from RNAcentral.